GUAACUACCCUCCAGAAACUUCCUGUUCCUUACAAACUGAAUAUCCAGUCUUGCUACAGACCAGAAGUGACAAAUUGUUGAGAAAUGGCAGCCAGGCAUCAUGCCUGAAAUCCCAGAACUCAAAAGUUUGAGGGAGAUCUUAAGUUUAAGGCAAACCUGAGCCACAUGGUAAGCUUGAAGUUAGCCUGGCCUUCAAAAGUAGAUCCUGUCACAAAAGAAAUAAUAG
This 226-nucleotide long non-coding RNA is filed under the name Cricetulus griseus (Chinese hamster). RNAcentral's name for it is "lncRNA (ENSCGRG00000025082.1)". Lineage: Eukaryota; Metazoa; Chordata; Mammalia; Rodentia; Cricetidae. The record is from RNAcentral.